GUGACCCCAGGAUGGACGAGGCCACCCGCCGAGUUUAAG
Molecule: ribosomal RNA, 39 nt
Filed under: Rossioglossum krameri
Lineage: Eukaryota; Viridiplantae; Streptophyta; Magnoliopsida; Asparagales; Orchidaceae
Description: partial 26S ribosomal RNA
Source: RNAcentral